Molecule: long non-coding RNA, 1828 nt
Organism: Nilaparvata lugens (brown planthopper)
Lineage: Eukaryota; Metazoa; Arthropoda; Insecta; Hemiptera; Delphacidae
Exons: 4
Source: RefSeq, a predicted model, not a curated record
AGUGCUGGAUGUACUCAUAAUUUUCAGUAUUAAUUAAAUUAUAUUAUUCAGUGGUCGAAGCCUUUUAUUGUCAAAAGCUCUUAUUUGAAACAAUAUGUUGUUCUCACAGUAUAUUAACAAUUUUUGUUUCUUCUUCUUUACAGGUGAGUUGGGAUAUAAUGAUGGCUCAUCAUGUUAUAUCUCUCAUUGGUAGUAAUUCCUUUUACUGAAGUUCAGUUUUCAGUAUGAAUGGUUUUCCAUUAUUGAUGAGGUUUGCACCUCUUCACAUCUAACUAACCGUAAAAUGGACUUUCUCUUCUGCUUAUCCCCAAGAGUAAUGUACUUGACACUAUAUUCUGAAAGAUUUCUCUGAGCCGAGUAAGUGGUAAUUAUUAGAGCUGCAUUUGAUCAAGUUGGUUCGUUUUUGAUGGUGAUGUUGAGGCCCACCUGAAAAAUCAGUUCACUGAUAAUCAAAUUACUAUUUUGAUUGAGGAAUAAUUUUGGCUAUUGUGAAUAGUAAGAAACAUUCAAGAAUAUCCUUAAUGGUGAAAAUAAUAAUAGUGGAAUCACUGCUCAAUCUGUGAGACUCUAAAGGUGCGUACAGAUAUACGCGCCUCCAACACGCCCCGCGCACGCUCUGCACUCGCUCCGAUCAUGAACGUUACAGGAGAUGUUAGCUCUUCUCGCGUUCCACUCUUGCUCCCCGGUCGAUCAUCAAUCGAUCUGCUCGAGUGAUGUUCGAUUGCGGAGCAGAGCGAAAGUCUGUACUCACCUCUAGAUAGAUUAAUCUGCAAGUCGGUUGUUUAGUUAGGUAGCCUUCAAUGAUGAUGAUUGAUAACGUGGAUCCUGGUCCCUGGUUAUGAGCCUUACUUAUUUCAACCCUUACUCUAUACAAACAAUAUGAUUUUGAUUUGAUACAGCUUCUCACUUAAUUUUUUCAGAUGUAAAUCUGUAAGUUCUUUCAGAAUAUUCCUCUUAACCAUAAUUUAUUUAAAAACUCUAGACGUACCAAAGAGCCUGAAUUUGAAAACUUUCCGCCAUUUUCCCACCAACUACUUCCACUACUCCAUAUCUCCUUCAAGGUAGGAAACUAUAGCACAUACUACUUUUGGGAUAUGUGGAGAUUUCUCAAAAACUAUUCCGUAUUGUGAGCAGUAUUUAGGUCACCUGACGGGUUUCAGAAAAUGUUGGUGCUAAAUAUUCUCGUAGUUUUCACCUCUUGGAUGUGAGACAGAAUCUGGGUGUUUGGUAUUUUGAGAAAAAGUUGGUGUGCCAACGCGAGUGCAUUGAGAGUGACGUGUAUUUGCUACGAGUCAGCAAGCGAAGACUGCUCUGGUUGAAUUCAAUAAAAUGCGCGUCGCUUCCGAAAUGUUCUGUGAGCUUGACACGACCUAACCUGUCAACAGACGUUUCUUUAGUGGCGUGAGAGAGUAGACGUGUCAAUUCUCCUCAGAAAUGGCUAUUGUUGGUGAAAAUGUUGCCAGGUUUCGAGUUGGUGGACUGUAUUUUGAAAAUAAUCUUAUUGUAGGUGUGAACUUUGCGGAAGUGAAGCGUAGGCCUACUCCACGAUGGAUCACAUUAAUUUUUCAGAAGAUUUCAUUCAACAUUUUAUAGUCUAAUGAACUCUUUAGAAUUCUUUGGAUUUCAUUCGACUAGAAUUAGAAUUUGAUUUCUUCAAUAAUAAAAUCAUUGAAAAAAUGAUAAAGUCAAAUAUACAGAAUGUCGCAGCAAGGUUGUAACAUCCGUUGGCCAUAGAUUGUACUCGACAUUUCUGACAAAAAUGAUCAGUAAACGUUUUCCCUAUCGACCUUAGUUUUCGAGAUAUAUAGAUUUUUCGAUAUUUUCAGAA